Molecule: ribosomal RNA, 292 nt
Filed under: uncultured eukaryote
Lineage: Eukaryota
Description: partial 18S ribosomal RNA
Rfam family: Eukaryotic small subunit ribosomal RNA
Source: RNAcentral
GGUUGAUCCUGCCAGUAGUGAUAUGCUUGUUUCAAAGAUUAAGCCAUGCAUGUCUAAGUAUAAGCGAACUUAUACAGUGAAACUGCGGAUGGCUCAUUAAAACAGUUUGAAUUUAUUUGAUGGAUGUGCGAAAGUACUACAUGGAUAACCGUAGUAAUUCUAGAGCUAAUACAUGCAAGAACGCUCGACUCACGAAGAGCUGUAUUUAUUGGAUACAAAAACCAAACCUGGCAACAGGUUCUGUUUGUUGAUUCACAAUAACUGAUCGGACCGAGGACUAGUCUUCGGUAGG